Molecule: ribosomal RNA, 419 nt
Filed under: uncultured bacterium
Lineage: Bacteria
Description: bacterial SSU rRNA
Rfam family: Bacterial small subunit ribosomal RNA
Source: RNAcentral
UGAGGAAUAUUGGGCAAUGCCCGCAAGGGUGACCCAGCAACGCCGCGUGGAGGAUGAAUGUCGGAAGAUUGUAAACUCCUGUUAGAGGGGAAGAAUAGUACCGGUUGGACCGGUAUAUGACUGUACCCUCAGAGAAAGCCCCGGCUAACUACGUGCCAGCAGCCGCGGUAAUCCGUAGGGGGCAAGCGUUGUCCGGAUUUACUGGGUGUAAAGGGCGCGCAGGCGGGAUAAAAAGUCAGUGGUGAAAUCCUACAGCUUAACUGUAGAACUGACUUUUUUUCGUUUAGUCUUGAGUUCGGGAGAGGGAGACGGAAUGCCAGGUGUAGUGGUGAAAUACGUAGAUAUCUGGAAGAACACCAGUUGCGAAGGCGAUCUCUUGGUCCGACACUGACGCUGAGGCGCGAAAGCGUGGGGAGCAA